RNAcentral lists this ribosomal RNA (777 nucleotides) under Triticum aestivum (bread wheat). RNAcentral describes it as "partial small subunit ribosomal RNA". Lineage: Eukaryota; Viridiplantae; Streptophyta; Magnoliopsida; Poales; Poaceae. The record is from RNAcentral.
AUGAAUCAAAGAGUCAACCAGGAGUGGAACCCCUCUGAGGUAGAGGGGGCGAGAUCAAUCAUUGAACGUCUCAACAACUACUACAACAAUGAUGGCACCAUCCAUGAGAAGAACAAGAAGCAUGAUAUCGUGUCCAAUCUCAAAGCAUGGUUCCCUAGGAAGACCAUGCAACAGUGUCCAGAGAAGGAGUACAACGGUUCCAAUAGUGACCAUGGUGUGAUUUACACCAUGGAUGGCCUUGUGAAUAAAAACUUUGGAUGGCAAGAGGAGGUUGUCAUGGAAGGAAUGGGUAUUUUGUUUGGUCUUCCAUUAGAGAGUAUGCAAACCAUGGAGAUACAAGAAGAGGUGCAGAUGGUGGAGGAGAACAAGGUGGUGUUGGAGAAUAAGAUGUGCAUCCCUCAACCAGUGCUUGCACCACGUGCCAAGGGGUUUUGGACCCUAGAGGAACACAGGCUCUUUCUCCAUGGGUUGAGUGUAUGUGGUCGUGGAAAAUGGAAGGAUAUAUCAAAGUACUUCGUCACUAGUAGGACUCCAGCCCAGAUUUCGGGCCAUGCACAAAAGUACUUCAUGAGGCUACAGAGAAAAGGGUCAGGAAGCCAACGCUAUAGCAUCAAUGACGUGGAGCUCGAUGAUGCUGGCCCAUGGAAAAUGGAGAAUAGCUUUAAUUUCUGGAAAGCACUCGCCUUGCAAUCUACAAUUGGUGGGGAUAACAAAAAUCCAAGUUUUGAUUUGCAAACUCCUUCGAGUCCAUUUUUCACCAUGAACAAUAUAGUCUAG